UAGCGUAUAUUAAAGUUGUUGCAGUUAAAACGCUCGUAGUCGGAUUUCGGGGCGCGGCCGCCGGUCUGCCGAUGGGUAUGCACUGGCGGCGUCGUCCUUCCUUCCGGAGACUGUCCCUACUCUUAGCUGAGCGGGGUCGGGAGACGGAUCGUUUACUUUGAAAAAAUCAGAGUGUUUCAAGCAGGCAGCUCGCUCUUGCAUGGAUUAGCAUGGGAUAAUGAAAUAGGACUUUGGUGCUAUUUUGUUGGUUUCGAACACCGAAGUAAUGAUUAACAGGGACAGUCAGGGGCACUCGUAUUCCGCCGAGAGAGGUGAAAUUCUCAGACCAGCGGAAGACGAACCACUGCGAAAGCAUUUG
This 358-nucleotide ribosomal RNA is filed under the name Haptophyta environmental samples. RNAcentral describes it as "SSU rRNA". It matches the Rfam family "Eukaryotic small subunit ribosomal RNA", at positions 595 to 957 of the family's 1831-position model. The record is from RNAcentral. Lineage: Eukaryota; Haptophyta.